Molecule: ribosomal RNA, 510 nt
Filed under: uncultured bacterium
Lineage: Bacteria
Description: partial 16S ribosomal RNA
Rfam family: Bacterial small subunit ribosomal RNA
Source: RNAcentral
GACGAACGCUGGCGGCGUGCUUAACACAUGCAAGUCGAACGAAGAGCGAUGGACGCUUGCUUCUAUCAAUCUUAGUGGCGCACGGGUGAGUAACGCGUAAUCAACCUGCCCUUCAGAGGGGGACAACAGUUGGAAACGACUGCUAAUACCGCAUACGAUCUAAUCUCGGCAUCGAGGAUAGAUGAAAGGUGGCCUCUACAUGUAAGCUAUCACUGAAGGAGGGGAUUGCGUCUGAUUAGCUAGUUGGAGGGGUAACGGCCCACCAAGGCGAUGAUCAGUAGCCGGUCUGAGAGGAUGAACGGCCACAUUGGGACUGAGACACGGCCCAGACUCCUACGGGAGGCAGCAGUGGGGAAUCUUCCGCAAUGGACGAAAGUCUGACGGAGCAACGCCGCGUGAGGGAUGACGGCCUUCGGGUUGUAAAGCUCUGUUAAUCGGGACGAAAGGCCUUCUUGCGAAUAGUGAGAAGGAUUGACGGUACCGGAAUAGAAAGCCACGGCUAACUACGUG